Molecule: long non-coding RNA, 513 nt
Organism: Oncorhynchus tshawytscha (Chinook salmon)
Lineage: Eukaryota; Metazoa; Chordata; Actinopteri; Salmoniformes; Salmonidae
Source: Ensembl
AUAGACAGGGUUAUAGAUAGGGGAUAGACAGGGUUAUAGACAGGGUUAUAGACAGGGGAUAGACAGGGUUAUAGACAGGGGAUAGACAGGGUUAUAGACAGGGUUAUAGACAGGGUUAUAGACAGGGAUAUAGACAAGGAUAGACAGGGGAUAGACAGGGUUAUAGACAGGGAUAGACAGGGAUAGACAGAUGGUAGACCGUGGAUAGACAGGGGACAGACAGGGGAUAGACAGGGAUAGAGAGGGGAUAGACAGGGGAUAGACAGGGUUAUAGACAGGGGAUAGACAGGGUUAUAGACAGGGGAUAUACAGGGUUAUAGACAGGGAUAUAGACAGGGUUAUAGACAGGGUUAUAGACAGGGGAUAGACAGGGAUAGACAGGGAAUAGACAGGGGAUAGACAGGGGAUAGACAGGGUUAUAGAUAGGGGAUAGACAGGGAUAGACAGAUGGUAGACAGGGGAUAGACAGGGGACAGACAGUGGAUAGACAGGGAUAGACAGGGGAUAGACAGG